Molecule: ribosomal RNA, 253 nt
Filed under: uncultured bacterium
Lineage: Bacteria
Description: partial 16S ribosomal RNA
Rfam family: Bacterial small subunit ribosomal RNA
Source: RNAcentral
UACGUAGGGGGCUAGCGUUGUCCGGAUUUAUUGGGCGUAAAGAGCGUGUAGGCGGCCGAGUAAGUCCGACGUGAAAUCUGGAGGCUCAACCUCCAGCGGUCGUUGGAAACUACUCGGCUAGAGUCCGGAAGAGGAGAGUGGAAUUCCUGGUGUAGCGGUGAAAUGCGCAGAUAUCAGGAAGAACACCGAUGGCGAAAGCAGCUCUCUGGGACGGUACUGACGCUGAGACGCGAAAGCGUGGGGAGCGAACAGG